UACCGGUACAGAGUCAAUGUGGAGGCUAUAUACAGGGGGUACCGGUAAAGAGUCAAUGUGGAGGCUAUAUACAGGGGGGUACCAGUACAGAGUCAAUGUGGAGGCUAUAUACAGGGGGUACUGGUACAGAGUCAAUGCGGAGGCUAUAUACAGGGGGUACCAGUACAGAGUCAAUGUGGAGGCUAUAUACAGGGGGUACCGUUACAGAGUCAAUGUGGAGGCUAUAUACAGGGGGUACCGGAACAGAGUCAAUGUGGAGGCUAUAUACAGGGGCUACCGGUACAGAGUCAAUGUGGAGGCUAUAUACAGGGGGAACCGGUACAGAGUCAAUGUGGAGGCUAUAUACAUUGGAUUCCGGUACAGAGUCAAUGUGGAGGCCAAAUACAGGGGGUACCGGUACAGAGUCAAUGUGGAGGCUAUAUACAGGGGAUACCGGUACAGAGUCAAUGUGGAGGCUAUAUACAGGGGGGUACCAGAACAGAGUCAAUGUGGAGGCUAUAUACAGGGGGAACCGGUACAGAGUCAAUGUGGAGGCUAUAUACAUUGGAUUCCGGUACAGAGUCAAUGUGGAGGCUAUAUACAGG
RNAcentral lists this long non-coding RNA (584 nucleotides) under Salmo salar (Atlantic salmon). RNAcentral describes it as "lncRNA (ENSSSAG00000086561.1, ENSSSAG00000117215.1)". The record is from RNAcentral. Lineage: Eukaryota; Metazoa; Chordata; Actinopteri; Salmoniformes; Salmonidae.